This 437-nucleotide ribosomal RNA is filed under the name uncultured Lachnospiraceae bacterium. RNAcentral's name for it is "partial 16S ribosomal RNA". It matches the Rfam family "Bacterial small subunit ribosomal RNA", at positions 341 to 792 of the family's 1533-position model. Lineage: Bacteria; Bacillati; Bacillota; Clostridia; Lachnospirales; Lachnospiraceae. The record is from RNAcentral.
ACGGGAGGCAGCAGUGGGGAAUAUUGCACAAUGGGGGAAACCCUGAUGCAGCGACGCCGCGUGAGUGAAGAAGUAUUUCGGUAUGUAAAGCUCUAUCAGCAGGAAAGAAAAAAAUGACGGUACCUGACUAAGAAGCCCCGGCUAACUACGUGCCAGCAGCCGCGGUAAUACGUAGGGGGCAAGCGUUAUCCGGAUUUACUGGGUGUAAAGGGAGCGCAGGCGGUUUUUUAAGUCUGAUGUGAAAGCCCGUGGCUCAACUGCGGGACUGCAUUGGAAACUGGAGAACUAGAGUGUCGGAGGGGCAAGUGGAAUUCCUAGUGUAGCGGUGAAAUGCGUAGAUAUUAGGAGGAACACCAGUGGCGAAGGCGGCUUGCUGGACGAUAACUGACGCUGAGGCUCGAAAGCGUGGGGAGCAAGCAGGAUUAGAUACCCUGGUA